RNAcentral lists this ribosomal RNA (696 nucleotides) under uncultured bacterium. RNAcentral's name for it is "bacterial SSU rRNA". It matches the Rfam family "Bacterial small subunit ribosomal RNA", at positions 8 to 750 of the family's 1533-position model. The record is from RNAcentral.
AGAGUUUGAUCCUGGCUCAGAACGAACGCUGGCGGCAUGCCUAACACAUGCAAGUCGAACGAACCCUUCGGGGUUAGUGGCGCACGGGUGCGUAACGCGUGGGAAUCUGCCCUUUGCUUCGGAAUAACAGUUAGAAAUGACUGCUAAUACCGGAUGAUGUCUUCGGACCAAAGAUUUAUCGGCAAAGGAUGAGCCCGCGUAGGAUUAGGUAGUUGGUGGGGUAAAGGCCUACCAAGCCGACGAUCCUUAGCUGGUCUGAGAGGAUGAUCAGCCACACUGGGACUGAGACACGGCCCAGACUCCUACGGGAGGCAGCAGUGGGGAAUAUUGGACAAUGGACGCAAGUCUGAUCCAGCAAUGCCGCGUGAGUGAUGAAGGCCUUAGGGUUGUAAAGCUCUUUUACCAGGGAUGAUAAUGACAGUACCUGGAGAAUAAGCUCCGGCUAACUCCGUGCCAGCAGCCGCGGUAAUACGGAGGGAGCUAGCGUUGUUCGGAAUUACUGGGCGUAAAGCGCACGUAGGCGGUUACUCAAGUCAGAGGUGAAAGCCCGGGGCUCAACCCCGGAACUGCCUUUGAAACUAGGUAACUAGAAUCCUGGAGAGGUGAGUGGAAUUCCGAGUGUAGAGGUGAAAUUCGUAGAUAUUCGGAAGAACACCAGUGGCGAAGGCGGCUCACUGGACAGGUAUUGACGCUGAG